GCAACAAUCACCAUGUAUUUUUUCAUCUCCUCAUAAGUACCCAACAAUCUUAUAUAGCAGCGGCCAACAAUCCAACCGCACCAGUCGUACAUCGCUUAACUACAACUUAAACAGAAUUAGCAACCGUCGUCCCAUCAACAGCCGGAUGUAUUUGAGUAUUCCAAUUCCCUCCUGAGCUUUCCUGAGUCUUUCCUGAGCUCGUGAAACAUCAAAUAAUGGAAUGCUUAGAAGAUCACCGUAACACUUACUACCAUCUUACAAACAGUAAAUCCAUACAAGUACAUCCACCAAACCAACAUGGAAUUUGGAAGCUGUCGCAGGACAGUAGUGAAGGUUUACUUCCCGAUGGAGACGGUGGGGAUGGGGAAUAAAUCAAGAUCGGACUACGACACUCACGGCAUUUCAACCAGAAGCAUCACCUACCCAUAGGAACUUUUAUAACCGGCUGAUUGAUGCAAAUAAUGCUAAGUCAUAACUUUCGUUCUAUUGAAGAGGAAGACGGCAAGACU
This is a long non-coding RNA of Armigeres subalbatus, 509 nucleotides long. RefSeq lists it as uncharacterized. The transcript is spliced from 3 exons. The record is from RefSeq and is a predicted model, not a curated record. NCBI's taxonomy places the organism in Eukaryota, Metazoa, Arthropoda, Insecta, Diptera, Culicidae.